Long non-coding RNA from Nannospalax galili (Upper Galilee mountains blind mole rat), 1442 nucleotides. RefSeq lists it as uncharacterized. The record is from RefSeq and is a predicted model, not a curated record. NCBI's taxonomy places the organism in Eukaryota, Metazoa, Chordata, Mammalia, Rodentia, Spalacidae. The transcript is spliced from 3 exons.
GUGGAAGUGGAGACGUGGCAGGGUGGGGGCGGCCACAUCUGCCGGCCUGGCGGGGGAGCAGCCACGUCCACAGACCCAGGCGCAUCACAUUCCCUUUAAAGUCCUUACCUUCUCCUCACCCCAUACCCUGGAUCCAGACAUCAAGGCGAUGUGGCCGAGGGGACCCAGGCCUCACAGGCAGCCCCUGGCCCAGAUGGGGAGGCCUUGGCCAAGCUGAGACCAGAACAUGUGGUCAAGAUCGGGCUCAGACUGACCUGGGCACCGUGCCAGUCACAUAUGUAGAUGGGGUCUUCAUGCUAUGGAGAUGGUGGGUGGAGCUUUAACUAGGAUCAGUCUCCAUCCUGAGCUGGCAUCUGGGAUCACCUCACCUGGACUACAGCACCUGGAGGCAGGUUUCCUCUUUUUGAUAACCUUCAGAAGAGCCACGUCUAAGGACCUUGAUGAAACACUGGUUCCCCAGAUGGUCUCAGGAGAACAAUCCACUGAGGUGAAAAGCCCUUCAAGGCAGCCCUGCGCCACGCCACAGGAAGGGUAUGUUGAGUCAGCAGCAAAAGGGAUUCCAGUUAGACUCGAAGAAGACUGGCUGAGCAAAAGCGGGUGGUCAUGCCUAUUUAUAGACAAGUUCCAGGAAUUCCUACCGUGCCUGAAGCAAUGGGUGAAGGAUCUGGAAGCUUCCCAAGCACAACACAGUGGUCAGGAACAGCCCUGGCAGCCUCAGAAAGUGCUUAGGAAACAGAGCUUGGACCAGGUGACACAGUCUGGUGACCCAGCCAGGAAAAAAAGGGUUGAAUCCACCUCAUCAGCCCCACCCACAAACUGGCUCCAUGUGGCCUCCAGGGCACUACCUGCAGAAGGAAGGCUGGUUUCAGGGCAUCCGAUUUCCUCUUCUGACUUCCACGGGCAUUGCAUGACAGGGAAGGCAAUUAAAAUAUUCAAAAAAAUAUUGGCCAGGGGGCAGAAGAUGACUUCACCUGCUGGAUCCUUCAGAGCACUUGGUGGGACGGUGAUUGAACAACCCCAAUUCCCUCAGGCUGAUUGAUGGCGAUCUUCCUGAGGCCUACCCAGAAAUGACAUCGGAAGUUGGUCUUUUUCCUAUCCAUCCUUCCAUGCCUAGCUCAAAUGCCAUCUCUGGUGGGAAGCCUUCCAGCCUCCUCACCCACUGGCUGCUCCCUUCCCGACGAUCCCACAGGAACUUGAAUGUGAUUUUCUCCUGCCUGCUCAGUCUGCACCUGCUGUGGCAUGCAGCCUGUGAAAAUUCUCCAAACCCUCAUUAGCGAUAGAGUGUGUUUUGAUUCCUAGAACUGAGGUCAGACCAAAUGACAAUGUGCUGGCAAGGUAAAGUAUUGCCAGGUUUCAAAGCCUCGGUACCAAAACGUGAACAAAAAUGCCUUAUUUAUAACUCAUAUUGAUUGCAUGUGGGGAUGAAAAAUGAUUUGUAUAUU